CGCGCAGGCGGCGUCGUAAGUCGGUCUUAAAAGUGCGGGGCUUAACCCCGUGAGGGGACCGAAACUGCGAUGCUAGAGUAUCGGAGAGGAAAGCGGAAUUCCUAGUGUAGCGGUGAAAUGCGUAGAUAUUAGGAGGAACACCAGUGGCGAAAGCGGCUUUCUGGACGACAACUGACGCCGAGGCGCGAAAGCCAGGGGAGCAAACG
This 206-nucleotide ribosomal RNA is filed under the name uncultured bacterium. RNAcentral's name for it is "partial 16S ribosomal RNA". It matches the Rfam family "Bacterial small subunit ribosomal RNA", at positions 568 to 774 of the family's 1533-position model. The record is from RNAcentral.